GGUAAUGAUGACAAGUCUUUUGACUGCUUGUUUAUUCUCCUUUCACCAUUCUACGCCUCAAUGGCUCUUGUCGUCGUGGAUACUCAUAAAUCCAAACCUCUCCAAAUCGAAACCAAGAACGGCAGACCUCCUGCCUCUCUUCCUAUCUUCGUGCAUCUCGCGAGAUUCGAUAUCAUGACUCUCGGUUGAAGCUUGUUCUUCUGAUGAAGGGGGAGCGACAGCUUCAGCUUCAGCUCCAGCUCCAGCUCCAGUGGCAAUCGCAGCCUCUGCCUCAGGCUCAGGCCGGGAAGCUCCUUCUGCAACAGAGGACAAUGGGGCUUCGGCCAUUUCUUCCUCUGCCUCUCCCUCCCCUGCAGCUGCAGCUGCAUCCUGAGCCUCUUCCUCUUCGUCCUCGUCGGCAAUCUGCUCGAGCUCGUCCUCUGUAGGCAACUUGUCUGCCAACCUCGGGGGCGGGGAAGGCCGUCUUCUCGGGGUCGCGUCCCCAUCCCCACCCAUUGCUGCAUCUCCAUCGCCCAUGCCCAUUUCCGUUUCCAUCGCUGAAUUAUGCAGCAUGGCAUGUGCGGCGCGUACGUGCUGCGGCGAGUGCGGCCGUCUGGGUACACGUGGGCGCACGCGCAUAGGGGGUAAGCCUGCGUCGUCGAUAGUGGUCGCGGGAGGAGAACCGGGAAUGCUCUUGAGUGCAGACUCGGUCUCUUCUCUGACUGGGGGGAGGUGAAGGGACCCAUUGAGGGAGCCAUUGAGACUGUGGGUGGAACCGCUGUUGGGUGUACCAGUGAGAGAAUGGCGGCCGAGGAGGGCAGUGUCGGCUACGAUCGAGGGGGAAGCAGAGGUGGAUGCUGUGGUGGCCGUGGAAGCUGUGGAAUUUUGAGAAGACUGGGAUCCAGAGCGACGACGUUUGACUGAACGCCAGAGGGCUUUUGCGCCAGAUUUGGCUAGCUGACCGACAUCAAUCACAUCGUUAUUGCUAACAGCCAAAAAGGAAAUAAAAAAAAAAAAAACAAAAAAAGAGAAACAGAUGUGUCAGCGAAUACAAUUUUUGCGCUACGCAUAAGCGCUCGACGAUUACUCACCCAUGCUUCUCUUCAAACUGCUUGCAAUAAUUGUCCCAAUCUUCAUCACUCAUCACGACACUCUGCACUCCACCCUUUUGUCCGUGUCCCUGCAUGCCAAUGAGGUUUCGACGGGAAGCUACACCCAACGAGAUGGAGUUUCGUCUUCGGAACUCGGGAGGCACGGCAGGAAGAGGUGCAAAAUGAAUUUUUGCCUGGGAAGCCCGUCGAGAGGGAGCGGGUGACGACGGCGCGGUGUAGUUGUAGCCGAGCUGCUUGGCAUGGUUGGUGUGCAGCGAGUCGUGUGAAGAGUACGGCGAGGACGAGUGGUCGGGCGGGGAAGGGGAGCUGCCAUCGCCGCUGCCGUUGCCUUCGCCACUGCCACUGGCAUGGGAGAAUACGGAGGUAAGUGAGGAGACGGGGGAGUGGCUGCCGGUGAAGGACGAUGCGGAGAGGGAGCGCUGGGAGGCCGUGUCUGGCGCCGUGCUGCUGCUGGGCCCUCGGGGGCGGUUUGGGCCGUUGAGGAGGAUGGAGGCGGACGGUUUCUGCUGGGAGAGGGAGGGGUUCGGGGGGAUCAGCAGUGAAGGCUGGUUCUCCUGCGACAUUGUGGCGGGCAGGAAGUUGAAGAGAUGCAGCGACGAGAGAACACAAUCCACUAAUAAUAAAUGUGGCGAAAACUACCGGUAAUAUGCGUCCGCUUUCACAACAAAAUCCGGCAACCACGGCAAACGUACUCCCCCAUCUCCUGAACGUUGUCGGAUAAAAUACAUCCCAUUUACGUCCCGUUUCUUACUAUGCAUACAGCCACUGCUAACAAAAAUCGCCAGGGAACAACAAGACCUAUGCACAGAAGCUCAUAACCAGUAUUACGAGCUGGAAAAUUGUAUAAAUAUCAAUAAUAUCAAGGCGUCAAAUUUCGUGUCGGUUAACUUUGUGAAGAAAGAUGCUGUAAUAGGGGUCAGGGAUUAGGGGAGGGGACGAUUACGGGGCGACGAUCCACGCCGGGCGGCGGACGGCCAAGCAAAAAUACUUGCUUCGGCAGCCCCCCCAUUGGCCGACUCGCUCCCGAGGUGGAGGCAAAAAUCGGUUUAUCUAUUAAAUAAGGUGAAACGCGCAACGGACCGAAGUGGCGACGAUCACCGCCGGAUCACUGGAAGCAGAGGAAGGAGGGAAUUACAAUUGUUGAACUGCAUAGUCAAUCACAAUCAGCCGGCUAUCCACGGAAUUGUUUUUCGUCCUUGUUUACAUAAACAAACUCGUCAGCGUAUGCAUUUACGCGUUCCACAUGGG
This 2339-nucleotide small RNA is filed under the name Cryptococcus neoformans H99. RNAcentral describes it as "Cryptococcus neoformans var. grubii H99 hypothetical RNA". The record is from RNAcentral. Lineage: Eukaryota; Fungi; Basidiomycota; Tremellomycetes; Tremellales; Cryptococcaceae.